This 259-nucleotide long non-coding RNA is filed under the name Gossypium raimondii (Peruvian cotton). Its description in RNAcentral is "long non-coding RNA (GRAI_LNC010547)". The record is from RNAcentral. Lineage: Eukaryota; Viridiplantae; Streptophyta; Magnoliopsida; Malvales; Malvaceae.
GUAAAGAAGGCCUUUGCUGGUGGAGCUUUGAUUCUAAGUGAGAUAGAUGGAAAAGACUUGCCUAAUCCCGUAAACUCAGACUCAGUCAAGAAAUACUUCACUUGAAGAAAACGAACCAAAGUUAAAACCCGUAAAAGGCGCUUUGAUUCCUAAAAAAAAAAAAGAGGAAAAAAUGAUGAUAAAAAAUGGAGAGGCUAAGGGGAAAACCCGCAAAGGGCACCUUAGGCCAAAGGGGAUUUGAGUUAAAAACCCGAAAAGG